Molecule: long non-coding RNA, 344 nt
Organism: Cygnus atratus (black swan)
Lineage: Eukaryota; Metazoa; Chordata; Aves; Anseriformes; Anatidae
Exons: 2
Source: RefSeq, a predicted model, not a curated record
GGCAGAGCGGAGGCUGGUGGAGUCUGGUGGAGGUCUGCAAGCACCAGGGAACUCUGUGAAGCUCUCCUGCCAGGGAUACGGAUUCACUUCCAGUUCAUUUGCUAUACAGUGGUACCGUCAGGCACCCGGUGGAAGUCUCGAGCGUGUGUGCUGAAUUGAGUCUGGUGGAGUCUGGCGGAGGUGUGCAAGCACCUGGAGACUCCGUGCAUCUCUCCUGCCAGGGAUCCGGAUUCAGCUUUGAAGAUUAUGAUGUUUUUUGGUACCGUCAGGCACGCGGUAGCAGUCUCGAGUGGGUGUCCUACAUCAACUAUUAUGGUAGCACAAUAAAAUAUGGCAAAGCGGUG